UACUCAUAACAGUAGCAAUCAUAUAGCUUUGUUCAUCCUACUCAAGUUUACUCUACUAAAUUGUACUAUUUUAAUAAAACUACUCGAAGAAGUGACAUUCAACUCAAGCUUAUCCAACUUAAAAGUGUAGCGGAAACGCGUGGGUAAAGUGUCCUUACACUGGUUUUCGGCUGUAAAAAAUAUAGCCUAUUUAUUGCUAAAUAUUGAUUUGGCAUAAUAUGAUUGAUUUUAGUGUGUUUUUGUCGUUUUUGACAUGUUUUUCGAGAUUUCGAUUGUUAAUGACAUGAAAACACAAACAUCGAUAAU
Molecule: non-coding RNA, 306 nt
Organism: Hydra vulgaris (swiftwater hydra)
Lineage: Eukaryota; Metazoa; Cnidaria; Hydrozoa; Anthoathecata; Hydridae
Source: RefSeq, a predicted model, not a curated record